AGAAACAAAACAUGUUCUUUGUGUUUUUUUCUUUAAUCUCUUUUGCCUCAAUUUUUUUUUCUCAGAAAUAAUCCCUGAGCUUGUUUAUCGUUAAAGCAAGAAAGUUGAUGGAAAUGGGUUGUCUUUGAGAGGAAUGUUGGCUGGCUCGAUGCGACAGCUUUGAGAUUGUAAAGUGUGAUCAAAGUAAAAGGUAUCAUCGGACCAGGCUUCAUUCCCCUCAAACAUUUUCAUUUUUAAGGCAAAGUUGAAGGAAAAAAACUGUGUAAAAGGAGAAACGGUUGAUGGGAAUGUUGUUUGGCUCGAGGUCAUAUAGGUUGAUCUUUUAUAUAUAAUUUCCAUGAAAUUUUCUUGGAUUUAUUUAAAUUUUCCGGGAAAGUUUCUGGAUAUGUGUAUAUAUAUAGCCUUAUAUGAUCUCGGACCAGGCUUCAUUCCCGUCAGCCAAACACUUCCUCCGACCAGUCAUGAGUUGUCGUUGUUUAGUUUCAGGCAAUGGCUUGUGGGGUUAAAAAAUGGGAGUAGUUUUUAAGGUGUCUUUUUUGUGUGCAUGGAAUCAUUUUGUCACACUUGUCAAAGAUGCUAACAAACAAAGAUAAAAAAAAAAAAAGAGAUGCCAUUGACUUAGUUUUUAAUUUGAUGCCUCUUUUUGUGUUGACCAUGUCUCUUCUUUCCAUGUUUGAUGACAAAUUGUUCCUACACAUAAAUGAAAAAUCUAUGGUCUUUACUAAUUAAUUAAUGGUAAAAUCUCUUUUCAAUGUAUAGUAAUUAAUUAAUAAUAAUUUUUUUAACAAUUUCAUUAUAAGCUUUUGUAGUCUUUUCUUAACCAUUAAAUAGAAAAAUAUUGCAUUUCAGUGCAUCUGAAACCAUGUCUUUUUGUACUGGCAACAAUGCUCGUACCAAUCGAGUUAAGAUUCAAUUGGCAUAAAUUCUCUUUUCUAAGUAGACUACUAUUUUUCUUAUAUCCUCUAAAAUAUUUAGGAUUUAAACUCGAGUUUUCUUUAAUAUACUUAAUUAUUACAUCCAAUAUUUUAUUGUUUUUUUUAUUGUGAAGGAUAAAAUAGUAAUUUUAUUUUUAGUAGCCUACAAGGAGAUAAGAAAAUUUGAACAUCAUCUACCCAUAUUGCCUUAGCAGACAUGAAUGAAGUAAACCCUCACAUAUGUAUGUAUGAGAAAAAAAAGUAGGUUUGCCAUUUCAUGCACGAAUGUUCAGUGGGUAUAUCUAUUGUUUUGCUGUAUAUACAUACAAAGGUACGUACGUACAUACAUACAUACAUACAUACAUAUAUACAUAUGUGUCUUUAAUUUGUUUUUCGCUUCUUUUGGUCAAGGUUGGAUAUGGUGAAAUUACAUAGAAGUCUCGAAGAUGAGGGCUUUGAUUCCCAUGUGAAGUGAAAUGUAUAUCAUAUUGGGUCUUGGUUUUAUAUGCAUCAUUCAUGUUUUUUUUGUCUUUUAAGAAUGUAACUUCCGAUGCCCAGUAUGAUCAACUGAGCAGGAAAAACAAUGUAACUGAUGCAUUAACUCCUCUGUAUGUAUGUAUGUACGUAUGUAUGUUGCAUUACCUUGAUUAUAUGCUACUGAUUUCAUACUUGAUUAUACUUAAACUUCUUGCAAUAUAUGAAAAAAGAUGUAAAUAUAGAAAUUAAAUUUACAUUUAAGUAACAUUUAUUUAAAUUUAUUCUUAAAUGUACUGAAUAAAACCACCACAAUAUUUCUCCCAAUAAACAAAAAUUGACAAUUAUGUAAAUAUAGAAAUUAAAUUUACAUUUAAGUAACAUUUAUUUAAAUUUAUUCUUAAAUGUAUAUUUCUCCCAAUAUACUUAUCAUAUUUUUAAAAUAUGUUCGAGGUUAAUGGUUGUCCCUCUCAAUAAUAUCGUCUUCAAAAUUUGACGUAACUAUCUUAUUUAUUUAAACAAAAUAUAAAUUUAUAUUUUCAUAUUAUAUAAGUGGUGUUUAAAAAUUUCACAAGUAAAAUUAAAUAGGCAGCAUAUGAGUUUUUUUAAAAAUAAACAUAUAAUAGUAUUUAAAAUUUAAUUAUUAAAUUAAAAUUUUAUUAACAAUUUAUAAAAUAAAAUCCCAUUUUACAUUUUAAUUUUAUUCAAAUUUCAAUUAGUUAAUUCGUGAAACUAAAUUUAACUCAAAGUUUUAUAAUAAUAUCAUGGGUGAAGGGUGUGGGUAUGGUAUAAGGGUAGAGAUGGGUCUGAGAUGGGCCUUCACUGUCUUAGUUGAAUGGAAUAAUAUUAGUUUUAGUCCCUUUCAAUUAUCAAGUAUUCAAUUUAAAAUUUUAUUUUGAUACCAAUACCAUAUAGAUAAGAUUUAAAAAAUUGCAAUAUUUUAAAAAUUCAUAAUUAAAGCACAAUAUUAUUUAUUAUCGCAAGCAAACUACUACAGCUUAGUUUUAUUUAAUGAAAUAAUCAUAAAUAGAACUUGUGUGUUGACUUGAUAGUUAGGGCGUUUAUCGCUUCAAGUGUGGCUUGGGUUCGAGUCGUGUUGUUGUUUGGGCUUUGCCCUCCUCUAAUAAUUCAUCAAGAGAAAAGUAUAAAAUAGAAAAAUAAAAUUUAGGUCCCACCUUCAUAAAAUGAAAAUUUUACACUUUAAUCCUUGCACUUUUUAAAUUUAUUCAAUUUAAUCCCUAUCUUAAUUUUUUAAAAAAUUAACAGUCCAGUGACUUAAAUAAAAACUUUCGAAUAGUUUAAUGACCAUUUUGUAACUUCUUGAAAUUAAAUGACCAGAACGUAAACUUACUAAUAAUUUAAUGACUCGAGUGUAAGUUACCCUAUUUGUUGUUGUUGUAUUCAUAAUCCUGGAUCCACCAAAACUUAAUCUGGCAACGGCAUUUCUCUUUUCUUGAAAAUCAAAACUUCACAGAGUACAUUUUUGGAAACUAGGAUUCUCUUUGAUUGACUUAACUUUUUCAGUGUCUGGUUUUAAGCAGCACUCACCCCUAUUUGUCCCUUAAUGUUAUUUUCACAGGUCACUGCCCAAUCGUGUAUGUAUAUCUUGCAGGGAACCCCUCAAUGAUUUUAGAAACCUUUCUUUCCCAGUCAAUAGCCAUAAUGUGCCGAUCGCAGUUCAAAUUCAUUAUUAGACACUAAAAAGAACACUACUCUAGGCUAAGUUCCGAGCACACUACAUGGCUUUUGUUUUGUCAAGGUCUUCUUAAAACUGCUGCAGUUGAUUCAAAUAGAUAUGGCUGAUGUUGAUAGAGGAGAAUCACCUUCAAGGCUAGAGGGUAAGUUUUGUGCGGCGGUAGCUUGUUGGAUUCUUGGAUUUGGUUCUCUCAUCUGUUGGAAUAGCAUGUUGACAAUGGGAGAUUAUUACUAUCAUCUAUUCCCUGUAAGUAACUUCUUUUCCCUUAGAAAACACUAAAAAACAACAAUUACGUUUUUUAGUGACGAUAUAUACUGACAAUAAAGAGUUUCGUCACAAAUAAUUUAUUAUUUGUGACGAAUUUUAUUUGCAACACUAAUGAAACAAGUAAGAUCAUUUAUUUAGUGACGUCUUCAUAAUGAUUGUUGCAAGUACAACUUCCGAUAAGUGAUCUAUUCUUACUUUCUGUUUUAUGCUCUAGAAAUACAAGAUCAGUUAGUCCGAAUUACAAUAUAUAUGUAAUUUUUCAGCUGAUGAUGUGAUACAAUCUUAAAAUAUCAGAUUCAGUGUUCAGAUCAUCGGUUUUCGAUUCAAUCAAUGCGACUGUUGGACCAAUAAUAAUUAAAUGGUUAAUUAAAAAUUCAUAAAAAUCUAAAAUAUUUUAAAAAAUAAAAUCAGUUCAACCUGUUUAGCUGUCGAUAUCUUGAUAAGGUGUGACAAUUAAGCGAGUUUUUGAGCAGCUUACUUUGAAAACCAUUAUGCUAUUGAUGGUUUCGGUUAAUCAAAUCUUAGGGAAAAGGUACUUUUUUUAUAAGCGAAGAUGUAAGUUGGAAUCAUGUACGUGAAGGUAGCAAGCAAAACUGUGAACAACAUACGGAUGCUCAGCUGGGAUGACGGUCUAUCAGCACCGAGGAGUGAGCUUGACACUUGAGCUCUUGCCAACUAGCCUGUUUGCUUUAAAAAAGAUUAGCUUGCCAUGCAAGCAAAGAAACCAACAACCAUUUUUGUAUUUUAGACUUCUCUUGCUGCAAAAGUUUUAGAAUUUCAAGAUGUAAUUCUCAGUUAUUGGAAACAAAUUGCAUGCAGAACCAAAGCUUGAUUAAUUCUUAGCUAUUAGAUAUCUCAAUAUCACUUGCAAACAAUACAGUAGGUACAGAUGGUUAUUGGCUUAUCGAUUUUGUCAAAGUGAACCAAAAUAUAGAAGCAAUGGUAGAAACAUAUAUCUGUUUUUUUUCA
RNA transcript from Gossypium raimondii (Peruvian cotton), 4320 nucleotides. It is a transcript of the gene named equilibrative nucleotide transporter 3, with no coding region annotated. Lineage: Eukaryota; Viridiplantae; Streptophyta; Magnoliopsida; Malvales; Malvaceae. The transcript is spliced from 3 exons. The record is from RefSeq and is a predicted model, not a curated record.